Molecule: long non-coding RNA, 392 nt
Filed under: Trifolium pratense (red clover)
Lineage: Eukaryota; Viridiplantae; Streptophyta; Magnoliopsida; Fabales; Fabaceae
Description: long non-coding RNA (TPRA_LNC006377)
Source: RNAcentral
AGAUUUCAUUGAGUGCUUUUUUCAAACACCUUGAGUGCAACAUUAAAAUAUGCAGUUGUAAAGAUUUGAGAGUUGAAAAUGUAGAACCAAAAUCAAACACUAACCUUUGUUGUUAGCUUCAGAUUGAAGAUUGAAGAUUGAAGAUGAAGGUUUGGCUUGAGUCAUAAAUAACAAUGAUGCUUUUAGCCUCGACUAACAGAAGUGUGUGUGCAAAUUACUUUAACCCUUAGCCCCUAGGGGGAGAAUUGAUAUAACACAGAGACAAAGAAAAAAUUGUAACAAGAAAAUAAUUUAUUUUUUUUAAGACAACAGAAAAUAAUUUAAGGAUGACUUUUUCAAUAGCCAUUAACGAUGAAAAUUGGAUUCUGUAAAAAAAAAUAUAAUUAUCUUAU